UACGUAGGGUGCAAGCGUUGUCCGGAAUUAUUGGGCGUAAAGGGCUCGUAGGCGGUCUGUCACGUCGGGUGUGAAAACUCAGGGCUUAACCCUGAGCCUGCUUCCGAUACGGGCAGACUAGAGGUAUGCAGGGGAGAACGGAAUUCCUGGUGUAGCGGUGAAAUGCGCAGAUAUCAGGAGGAACACCGGUGGCGAAGGCGGUUCUCUGGGCAUUACCUGACGCUGAGGCGCGAAAGCUAGGGGAGCGAACAGG
Molecule: ribosomal RNA, 253 nt
Filed under: uncultured bacterium
Lineage: Bacteria
Description: partial 16S ribosomal RNA
Rfam family: Bacterial small subunit ribosomal RNA
Source: RNAcentral